RNAcentral lists this ribosomal RNA (253 nucleotides) under uncultured bacterium. RNAcentral describes it as "partial 16S ribosomal RNA". It matches the Rfam family "Bacterial small subunit ribosomal RNA", at positions 524 to 776 of the family's 1533-position model. The record is from RNAcentral.
UACGGAGGAGGCAAGCGUUAUCCGGAAUUAUUGGGCGUAAAGCGUCCGCAGGUGGCACUUCAAGUCUGUCGUCAAAGACUGGGGCUUAACCCUGGAAAGGCAGUGGAAACUGAAGCGCUAGAGUGCAGUAGGGGUAGAGGGAAUUCCCGGUGUAGCGGUGAAAUGCGUAGAGAUCGGGAAGAACAUCGGUGGCGAAAGCGCUCUGCUGGACUGCAACUGACACUCAGGGACGAAAGCUAGGGGAGCGAAUGGG